CAAUAGCGUAUAUUAAAGUUGUUGCAGUUAAAAGCUCGUAGUUGGAUUUCGGAGUGGGCCAGUUGGUCCGCCGCAAGGUGUGUUACUGACUGGUUUGCUCUUCUUCGCAAAGACUGCGUGUGCCCUUAAAUGAGUGUGCGUAGGAUUUACGACGUUUACUUUGAAAAAUUAGAGUGUUCAAAGCAGGCGUCGGCUUGAAUACAUUAGCAUGGAAUAAUGGAAUAGGACUUUGGUUCUAUUUUGUUGGUUUCUAGGACCGAAGUAAUGAUUAAUAGGGACAGUUGGGGGCAUUAGUAUUUAAUUGUCAGAGGUGAAAUUCUUGGAUUUACGAAAGACGAACAACUGCGAAAGCACUUGCCAAGAGUGUUUUCAUUAAUCAAGAACGAAAGUUAGAGGAUCGAAGACGAUUAGAU
This 413-nucleotide ribosomal RNA is filed under the name uncultured eukaryote. RNAcentral's name for it is "SSU rRNA". It matches the Rfam family "Eukaryotic small subunit ribosomal RNA", at positions 592 to 1013 of the family's 1831-position model. The record is from RNAcentral.